UGCGGCUGAGACCCUGGCCACGGCCACGCGCCCCGCGCAAGCGCCCAACUGCGGCGCCGAGGUGGGGGGCGGGGCAAGCAAACCCGCGAGCCGGCCGGCCCGAGUGGGGAGCCUGGGCCGGCCCGGUGCGCGCGCCGCAAGGCCGGCGAGGGCGCCCUGAGGACGAGCGUGAGGCGGCGCGCGCUGUCCGGGCCGCCGCGAGCGCGAGAAGGGGCGUGAGCGAGCGCGGGCCGGCGGCGCGCUCCAGGCGCAGACUGCCCAGAACGCGCGCCGAGCGCUAGCGCGGGGCCGACAGCCACCUAGGGGCGAGAAGCUCCGGGCCCGGUUGCCGGCCCGCGCGCUUCUAGCUCACCUGCCGCCUGGCCAGAGAGGGGUGGACUGUAUGGCAAGGUGAAGUGGCGAGGCCGCGAGUCGCCUCCGUGAAGCUCUAGGCUUGCGGGGCACAGGCAGAGGGAAAGUUCAAAAUUGGGCUGCUGUGAUGGAUUGAUGAGACAGGAGACUGUCACGGCCGAGCGGAGGAGCCGGCAGAAAGGUGGUAGGAAGACGAAAAAUUCGGAGGACAACCACAAUCCCAGUCACGGCUGCCCCUAGAGAGUUCAAGAUCCACCUCCCUUUACCGACAAUCUACAUGAUUCCAGGAGCAGAGCACCCACCGCCAGGUUCCCACAACAGGACUGACUCCAGACUCCAGCUGAUUGGUACAGGGUAGGUAGUGGCAUGAUUCACAUCCUAUUCUACAAAAUGUUGUGCUCCAUGGGUGCAUUUUGAAUAGAAAACAGGAUGAAUGGCAACCUCUAGAGUUGUCCAACUUAAUUGAACUCAGCACUUGACUGAAGUAGGCUACUCAUAGUCUUUCCUCAAGAUUCUGGAAUUAAAUCUAGGAGAUCCCUACUUCAGUCUUCUGUCCUCUUUUGUUUUUAAUUUUUUUA
Molecule: long non-coding RNA, 929 nt
Organism: Felis catus (domestic cat)
Lineage: Eukaryota; Metazoa; Chordata; Mammalia; Carnivora; Felidae
Exons: 3
Source: RefSeq, a predicted model, not a curated record